CCUACGGGGGGCAGCAGUGGGGAAUCUUCCGCAAUGGGCGAAAGCCUGACGGAGCAACGCCGCGUGAGUGAUGAAGGCCUUCGGGUUGUAAAACUCUGUCUUCAGGGAAGAAACAAAUGACGGUACCUGAGGAGGAAGCCACGGCUAACUACGUGCCAGCAGCCGCGGUAAUACGUAGGUGGCAAGCGUUGUCCGGAAUUACUGGGCGUAAAGAGCGCGUAGGCGGGAAUUUAAGUCAGGAGUGAAAACUGGGGGCUCAACCUCCAGCCUGCUCUUGAAACUGGAUUUCUUGAGGGUAUGAGAGGAAAGCGGAAUUCCCAGUGUAGCGGUGAAAUGCGUAGAUAUUGGGAGGAACACCAGUGGCGAAGGCGGCUUUCUGGCAUACAACUGACGCUGAGGCGCGAAAGCGUGGGGAGCAAACGGGAUUAGAUACCCUUGU
This 439-nucleotide ribosomal RNA is filed under the name uncultured Pelotomaculum sp. Its description in RNAcentral is "bacterial SSU rRNA". It matches the Rfam family "Bacterial small subunit ribosomal RNA", at positions 338 to 791 of the family's 1533-position model. The record is from RNAcentral. Lineage: Bacteria; Bacillati; Bacillota; Clostridia; Eubacteriales; Desulfotomaculaceae.